CCCAGACUCCUACGGGAGGCAGCAGUGAGGAAUAUUGGUCAAUGGGCGCGAGCCUGAACCAGCCAAGUAGCGUGAAGGAUGACUGCCCUACGGGUUGUAAACUUCUUUUAUAAAGGAAUAAAGUGAGGCACGUGUGCCUUUUUGUAUGUACUUUAUGAAUAAGGAUCGGCUAACUCCGUGCCAGCAGCCGCGGUAAUACGGAGGAUGCGAGCGUUAUCCGGAUUUAUUGGGUUUAAAGGGUGCGUAGGCGGAACAUUAAGUCAGCGGUAAAAUCGAGGGGCUCAACCCCUUUAAGCCGUUGAAACUGGUGAUCUUGAGUGGGCGAGAAGUAUGCGGAAUGCGUGGUGUAGCGGUGAAAUGCAUAGAUAUCACGCAGAACUCCGAUCGCGAAGGCAGCCUACCGGCGCGCAACUGACGCUCAUGCACGAAAGCGUGGGUAUCGAACAGGAUUAGAUACCCCGGUA
This 464-nucleotide ribosomal RNA is filed under the name uncultured bacterium. RNAcentral describes it as "bacterial SSU rRNA". It matches the Rfam family "Bacterial small subunit ribosomal RNA", at positions 330 to 792 of the family's 1533-position model. The record is from RNAcentral.